GGGGCGGGGAGGAGGAUUGGAGAGCCAAAAGGUAGAGAAAGAAAAAGGGAGGGAGGCGGAGAUGGACCUGGAAGGAGUCAAAGAAAUAAUGUAGUAGAGCGGGGAGGAGAGAUGGUGAAGAAUGGGUAAAAGGAAAGGGGAGAGAGAAUGGGGGCACCCAGGGAGGAGAGGGCUGGCUCCUGAUUAUUGAUUCUGAAUUCCAUCUUGGAGCAAAAACUGUCACCAAGAGCGGCACAGUGCUUCACUGCCCCGCCGAAUGCAGUCAGCACCUGGGACAGCUCCUCUGCUGCCGCGCCCCUCCCCCACCCGAGAUGGGCUUUCCCAGAGUGAGCUUUAAGGGGACACGGAGGUCCCUCACAUCCCAUGUCACAGGUGGAGAAACUGAGGCCACAAGUUGGGAAGGGCUGUCCCGAGUGAAGGUACAGGUUUCCUCGGUGCCCAGGGGCAGAGUGAACUGAGCAGGCCUCAGUCGGUCCGGGACAAGCUCAGCCUGAGAGAGGCAGUACGAAUGAGGAAGAGCCGAGCGUGCAGACUUAGGAGGCACAGCCCCAGAGGAGA
Long non-coding RNA from Mustela erminea (ermine), 558 nucleotides. RefSeq lists it as uncharacterized. NCBI's taxonomy places the organism in Eukaryota, Metazoa, Chordata, Mammalia, Carnivora, Mustelidae. The transcript has 3 exons. The record is from RefSeq and is a predicted model, not a curated record.